UAGUUGGCGGGGUAACGGCCCACCAAGGCUGUGAUGGGUAGCCGAGCUGAGAGGUUGAUCGGCCACACUGGAACUGAGAUACGGUCCAGACACCUACGGGUGGCAGCAGUAGGGAAUAUUGCGCAAUGGGCGAAAGCCUGACGCAGCCAUGCCGCGUGGAUGAUGAAGGCCUUCGGGUCGUAAAGUCCUUUUCUGAGGGAAGAAGCGCUGGGGAAGGAAAUGUCCCCGGUUUGACGGUACCUCAGGAAUAAGCAACGGCUAACUCCGUGCCAGCAGCCGCGGUAAUACGGAGGUUGCAAGCGUUGUUCGGAAUGACUGGGCGUAAAGGGAGCGCAGGCGGCCAAAUCAGUCUGAAGUGAAAGCCCGGGGCUCAACCCCGGAAUGGCUUUGGAUACUGUUUGGCUUGAGUAUGCGAGAGGAAAGCGGAAUUCCAGGUGUAGCGGUGAAAUGCGUAGAUAUCUGGAGGAACACCGGUGGCGAAAGCGGCUUUCUGGCGCAUAACUGACGCUGAGGCUCGAAAGCGUGGGGAGCGAACGGGAUUAGAUACCCCGGUAGUCCACGCCGUAAACGUUGUGCACUAGGUGUGGGAGGUAUCGACCCCUUCCG
Molecule: ribosomal RNA, 606 nt
Filed under: uncultured bacterium
Lineage: Bacteria
Description: bacterial SSU rRNA
Rfam family: Bacterial small subunit ribosomal RNA
Source: RNAcentral